AACGCAUCUUGCGCUCCUUGGUAUUCCGAGGAGCAUGCCUGUUUGAGUGUCAUUAUAUUCUCAACUCCCUAAUACUUUGUUGUAAAGGAGAGCUUGGAUUGUGGAGGCUUGCUGGCCACUUGCUUGCGGUCAGCUCCUCUGAAAUGCAUUAGCAGAACCGUCUGCGAUCUGCCACAAGUGUGAUAAAUUAUCUACACUAGCGAGGGGAUUGCUUUCUGUGAUGUUCAGCUUCUAAUCGUCUUAGGACAAUUUCUUGAAUGCUUGACCUCAAAUCAGGUAGGACUACCCGCUGAACUUAA
This 299-nucleotide unclassified non-coding RNA is filed under the name uncultured Agaricus. RNAcentral describes it as "sequence contains ITS2". The stretch from base 1 to 52 matches the Rfam family "5.8S ribosomal RNA", at positions 103 to 154 of the family's 154-position model. Lineage: Eukaryota; Fungi; Basidiomycota; Agaricomycetes; Agaricales; Agaricaceae. The record is from RNAcentral.